This is a long non-coding RNA of Camelus dromedarius (Arabian camel), 1388 nucleotides long. RefSeq lists it as uncharacterized. The transcript is spliced from 4 exons. The record is from RefSeq and is a predicted model, not a curated record. Lineage: Eukaryota; Metazoa; Chordata; Mammalia; Artiodactyla; Camelidae.
GUGGGGCGGAGCCUUUAUGGAGGUUACCGCGGGAACAGCGACCCCGUCAGGAUCGCCGCGGCCCAGCCGCGGGGCGCGCCGGGAGCUCCGCGCUGUCGGCCGCCGGGGAGCGUAGUGUUAGUCACUAGGGGCGCAACCUGGGGCCGCUGACGCGCUACGUGUUUGCAGUUAAGCCCCUGAGAACCAAGAGCAGAGACAACCCACACCCCUCGUUUUGUUUUAAGAGAAAAUAUGGAAAUUGUAGCAUAGAUUUACAGUAUCUGUGAAAUUAGAACCAAGUUUCCUGUCAUCUGGUAGCCGUCGCGCCCCGCUGGUCUCCGACGCCUGGGUGGCUCUCGUUUGCAAAAUAAGAUUGAAUUUAAUGUCCCCACCGAGGCUGCGGUUCAUUCAUUCAGCAGUCUUGAGUAUGUGCCGUGUACCUGCACUGAGCCCUGUGCUGGAGGGACCAUGCUGAACAGGCGUGUCCCUGCCCGCAGGAAGUUCUCAGCUGGGUUACUUGACAGCCACCAGGGGCUUCUCUUUCUCCAUUUCUCCCCCACCCCCUCCAAAUUCCGUCACCAUUUGCUGCAGGAAGGACUUUAUGGCUGGCUAAGGCAGCAUGCACACGCGGGAUUACGGGAUCAACACUAGGUACCUGCUCUGUGCGAGAUCCAGUGCCAGGUGGAGGACGCAAAGAAGUGUAAGAGGUGCCUAGCUACAGAGUGUUGAUAAACAGUAAGAGCUUAACAUCCUGCCUGACUGAUGGACAGGUGGCCCUCAGUGCUAAGAUCCUCCAGUUUGGGGUACAACAGUACAAAGCUUCUCAGCAUGGGAGCUGCUAUGAACUGAACCCUAAGUACACUCAGGAAUGAGGCCAAGUACCUAGCAUUAUCUCAUGAGAUUUAUACAACUCUUGAGGUGGGUAUUAGGUCUACUAGAAUUUUUUUUCUUGCUUAAGAUACAAAUGGUGGUGCUCAAAACCACAGCAACAACGACCACAGAGCCAACUACUGACAGCACCACGGUAGAAACGCUGACUCCGGAAUUAGGGCGACUGUCAUCAGGAUGCAGAGGAUCUUCAUCUGCCUGGGGAACAAACAAAGCCAGGUGGACUGGGAGUGCCUUGAGAUUCGGUCUGGUUUAACUCUGGUCCCAAGUUCCUGGCACAGCAUCUGCAGAGCAAGACCUCAAGAGAAAUUGUUGUUGUCAGCCUGUACACUUAUGCAUUGCUACCAGAGGACUAGAAUAAGUCAUGUUUUACCUGUUACGAUGCUCAUCUCUAUGACUGCUUCAUCAGCAUUUUCUCCCAGAGCAAUAAAAUGAAUGAUGGCCCCACUAUUUGUCACUUCUUCAAUACAAGUCUUUGCAGAGCUAUCUUCCCCAUCAGUCAGCAGUACUAUUUCAGAUCC